CACGGGGGGAGCAAGCGUUGUCCGGAUUUACUGGGCGUAAAGAGCGUGUAGGCGGGGUGGUAAGUCGGCGGUGAAAUCUCUCGGCUUAACCGAGAAUGUGCCUCCGAUACUGCCAUCCUUGAGUGCGGAAGAGGGAAGUGGAAUUCCUGGUGUAGCGGUGAAAUGCGUAGAUAUCAGGAAGAACACCAGUAGCGAAGGCGGCUUCCUGGUCCGCAACUGACGCUGAGACGCGAAAGCGUGGGGAGCAAACAGGAUUAGAUACCCUCGUA
Molecule: ribosomal RNA, 269 nt
Filed under: uncultured prokaryote
Description: partial 16S ribosomal RNA
Rfam family: Bacterial small subunit ribosomal RNA
Source: RNAcentral